This is a non-coding RNA of Schistocerca americana (American grasshopper), 75 nucleotides long. Lineage: Eukaryota; Metazoa; Arthropoda; Insecta; Orthoptera; Acrididae. The record is from the annotation of a RefSeq genome assembly.
GCCGAAAUAGCUCUCAGUUGGGAGAGCGUUAGACUGAAGAUCUAAAGGUCCCUGGUUCGAUCCCGGGUUUCGGCA